This is a transfer RNA of Exidia glandulosa HHB12029, 89 nucleotides long. It matches the Rfam family "tRNA". From Rfam's summary of the family: Transfer RNA (tRNA) molecules are approximately 80 nucleotides in length. NCBI's taxonomy places the organism in Eukaryota, Fungi, Basidiomycota, Agaricomycetes, Auriculariales, Exidiaceae. The record is from Rfam.
GACGCGAUGGCCGAGUGGUUAAGGCGAUUGACUCGAAUCCCGAUAUCAAUUUCCCUCUGGGAGCGUAGGUUCAAGUCCUACUCGCGUCG